GGAGAAACUAGCAGCAACUGUGAUGACUUCAGGGAGUAUUUGGCUUGCUCCGAUCAGCAGCAAAGAGGUUGCUACCUCUUUGAUUUCACCGAAAAGAAAAGUACAUUUUGUGGGGUGAUUUUUGUUGUUUCAAUCGACAGGUAAUGAGUAAGGAAAAGAACCAAAAGAAGAGGCAGAUGCCUCUUGUUGUUUCUUGGCAGCCACGAUCAAAGAAGAAAGAAAGAAGAAGAAGAAUAAGAGUGUUUGAAAGGCAUUGAGUGUGAUUUUGUAUAACAGAGUUGUGUGUAGUUUUGGUUAAGAUGAAGUGUAUAAGAAACAUAAUUGUCAAUUCCAUUUAUUGUUGUACUUUGAGGUAAACUUAGAAGCAAAGUAUUUCACAUGUAUUUAUGUAUGUAAAAAAAAUGUAUUUUUGUAUA
This is a long non-coding RNA of Lactuca sativa (garden lettuce), 416 nucleotides long. RefSeq lists it as uncharacterized. Lineage: Eukaryota; Viridiplantae; Streptophyta; Magnoliopsida; Asterales; Asteraceae. The record is from RefSeq and is a predicted model, not a curated record.